This 477-nucleotide ribosomal RNA is filed under the name uncultured bacterium. Its description in RNAcentral is "partial 16S ribosomal RNA". It matches the Rfam family "Bacterial small subunit ribosomal RNA", at positions 28 to 507 of the family's 1533-position model. The record is from RNAcentral.
GAUUAACGCUGGCGGCGUGCAUAACACAUGCAAGUCGAACGAUAAAACUUAGUAGACUUCUUCGGAAAGACACUAAGCGGAUUAGUGGCGAACGGGUGAGUAACGCGUGAGUAACCUGCCUUACACAAGGGGAUAGCCUAUGGCAACGAAGAAUAAUACCCUAUAACACCAUAAAAGCACAUGCUAGAAUGGUCAAAGUGAUAGCGGUGUAAGAUGGACUUGCGUCUGAUUAGCUCGUUUGUGAGAUAAAAGCUCACCCAGGCAACGAUCAGUAGCCGGCGUGGAAGGGCGAACGGCGGCAUGGGGACUGGCACACGGCCCAAACUGCGACAGAAGGGAGGAAUGGGGAAUAAUGGACGAUGGGGGGAUGCCUGAUGCAGCGGCGCCGGAUGAUUGAGAAGGCGUUGGGGUUGUAAAAAGCUUAUGAAGAGGAAGAAAGUGACGGUACUAGACGAAUAAGGUCCGGCUAAUUACGUG